Molecule: long non-coding RNA, 412 nt
Organism: Strigops habroptila (Kakapo)
Lineage: Eukaryota; Metazoa; Chordata; Aves; Psittaciformes; Psittacidae
Exons: 2
Source: RefSeq, a predicted model, not a curated record
CCUCCGCUCCCCGCCUUGCCGCGGCCAUUGGCUCCGGGAGGCCGCCCCGCCACCGCCAAGAGACCUACGAUGAGAUAAAUCCUUGUCUGGGAGCAAGUGGAAGAACACAGUAGAAACGGAUUUACAUGUAACUUGAACUCAACAACUCCUGCUGAAACAGUAAGAAAUCCAGAAAAACACUUCUGGAAGUGCAGUGAAUCCAAGUUAUCCUGAACUGUGUCAUUUUUUAACAUGGCCUUUUACCUAUGAGUGGUAAGAGAGAAAAAAGAAAGUGGUAAGAUCAAGGCAACAAGGGAGACAACUCAAAGUGUGGUAAACCAGACUGCAGUAAACUUGCCUUUCAUCAGGGACUACCCAAGUUUAAUGGGCUCUCUUAUAAAGAAAAUAAUAAUAAAAGGAAUUCAAAAAUCAA